RNAcentral lists this ribosomal RNA (882 nucleotides) under Coniochaeta sp. RNAcentral describes it as "partial large subunit ribosomal RNA". It matches the Rfam family "Eukaryotic large subunit ribosomal RNA", at positions 40 to 956 of the family's 3401-position model. Lineage: Eukaryota; Fungi; Ascomycota; Sordariomycetes; Coniochaetales; Coniochaetaceae. The record is from RNAcentral.
AUAUCAAUAAGCGGAGGAAAAGAAACCAACAGGGAUUGCCCUAGUAACGGCGAGUGAAGCGGCAACAGCUCAAAUUUGAAAUCUGGCUCCGGCCCGAGUUGUAAUUUGUAGAGGAUGCUUUUGGCGAGGUGCCUUCUGAGUUCCCUGGAACGGGACGCCAGAGAGGGUGAGAGCCCCGUAUAGUCGGACACCUAGCCUCUGUAAAGCUCCUUCGACGAGUCGAGUAGUUUGGGAAUGCUGCUCAAAAUGGGAGGUAUAUCUCUUCUAAAGCUAAAUAUAGGCCAGAGACCGAUAGCGCACAAGUAGAGUGAUCGAAAGAUGAAAAGCACUUUGAAAAGAGGGUUAAAUAGCACGUGAAAUUGUUGAAAGGGAAGCGCUUGUGACCAGACUUGUGCCGGGCUGAUCAUCCAGUGUUCGCACUGGUGCACUCGACCCGGCUCAGGCCAGCGUCGGUUUUCGCGUGGGGAUAAAAGCUUCGGGAACGUGGCUCCUCCGGGAGUGUUAUAGCCCGCUGCUCAAUACCCUCGCGGGGACCGAGGUUCGCGCUCUGCAAGGACGCUGGCAUAAUGGUCAUCAGCGACCCGUCUUGAAACACGGACCAAGGAGUCGAGGUUUUGCGCGAGUGUUUGGGUGUAAAACCCGCACGCGUAAUGAAAGUGAACGUAGGUGAGAGCUUCGGCGCAUCAUCGACCGAUCCUGAUGUAUUCGGAUGGAUUUGAGUAAGAGCGUAAAGCCUCGGACCCGAAAGAUGGUGAACUAUGCCUGAAUAGGGUGAAGCCAGAGGAAACUCUGGUGGAGGCUCGCAGCGGUUCUGACGUGCAAAUCGAUCGUCAAAUUUGGGCAUGGGGGCGAAAGACUAAUCGAACCAUCUAGUAGCUGGUU